Nematostella vectensis (starlet sea anemone) is the source of this 727-nucleotide long non-coding RNA. RefSeq lists it as uncharacterized. Lineage: Eukaryota; Metazoa; Cnidaria; Anthozoa; Actiniaria; Edwardsiidae. The record is from RefSeq and is a predicted model, not a curated record. The transcript is spliced from 3 exons.
GAGUCUAGAUAAGAAGGGAUAUCCAACUGUGUCACCACCUAUCUAAGUGCUAUUGAAAAACAUGAACCUAGUGUUAAUGAACAUGCAGAGAGUAUGCCUUGCGCAUGCUCCAGGCCCCUAGAUGCGAGCUUCAUUAUCAUACUUUGCAUUGUUCGUGUUUCGAAUGUUUACGAUUUUAACGUAAAAAUGUCCACCGUUUGAACGCUAAAUAUGAUAUCAGAUGAUUGAAUUCUUUCUCGAGAGAGUACUGCAGGCUUUAUGAGUUAUUGAAUAUUGCUUAUGUUAUGUUUUUGUGCGCCAUGUUGGUGCAUAAAUACGGAUUAAAAUGUGAACGGAGAACAUGUUGUUUGAGGUUGUGCUAUUAAAAUGGCGGCGAUAUUUCAGUACACGUGUCUUACUUACUGAAUAACUAGACAUCGCGGGUAUCUCUGUUCAAAUGUUCCACAGGCGAUGUACCGACGGUCUGAGAAUAGAAGUAUUAGAUGCAAAGCUUAGUUAUCUCAUUCAUGUAUCAAGAAAGUUUACCAAAAUUGGCGCUCAAGCUGAAAUUAGGCAUCCUUAGGAGGAUUCCUCGAGGAUGUAUCGUGAACACAAUUAAGUAAAGACAUAGAGGAGAUAAAUGCUAGUUAGGUGUAGAAUAAAACAGCUGUAAAAUAUCCCCGAAUUCGAUAUUUUUGCUUUUGAUGAUAGCCUGUCAUGCUUAUUUAAAUAAGGGUAACAACUUAAU